RNAcentral lists this unclassified non-coding RNA (253 nucleotides) under uncultured Chloroflexota bacterium. Its description in RNAcentral is "uncultured Chloroflexi bacterium contains 16S-23S intergenic spacer region". It matches the Rfam family "Bacterial small subunit ribosomal RNA", at positions 524 to 776 of the family's 1533-position model. The record is from RNAcentral. Lineage: Bacteria; Bacillati; Chloroflexota.
UACGUAGGUGGCGAGCGUUGUCCGGAUUUACUGGGCGUAAAGAGCGCGCAGGCGGUCGGUCAAGUCGAGUGUGAAAGCCCCCGGCUCAACUGGGGAGGGUCAUUCGAUACUGAUCGACUGGAAGGCAGGAGAGGGAAGUGGAAUUCCCGGUGUAGUGGUGAAAUGCGUAGAUAUCGGGAGGAACACCAGUGGCGAAGGCGACUUCCUGGCCUGUUCUUGACGCUGAGGCGCGAAAGCUAGGGGAGCGAACGGG